UGCAACUCAUUGUCAGUGUACAAUACAUAGCGAAACAAUCCAAAUCCUGAAAGCCUCAAAACUCUAGCUGGAGAUAACCCUCGUCAAUUUGAGCUUUAACAUUUCAAAAAUUUUUUACAUUGCACUAAGAGUAAUUUAUAGAUAGGGUCAAAUUUAGAAAAUGAAAACAAUAUGAAGUACAAAAUUAAAUUGAAGUUGGUGCUCUCUCCAUGGUCCGCCGUCCGAAGAUGAUCGAUGAAUAUCUAUAUCCAUUCAAAUAGAAUUAUCAUAGUAACUUUCGUACAUAUAUUCGACAAAUAUACGCAUAUGUUUUUGCAAACAUAGUUUGGGUUUGCAAACAGAGCAACUAUUCCAUUUACAGUUUGAAAAAUGGAAUUAUUAUUCAUUUUACUUUAAAUGAGUAAUAUCCUGUGCAUAUACUGUUGUCAAACUGAGCAGCUUUUCAUCCUCAAAAUAUCAAAAACUAUUUGAAGUAAAUUCGUAGUGUUGGUCACUGCUGGGGCCGGUCCAACUGAAGGUGCAACAUGUGCAUAUGGAAAGGGCGGCAAAUUUUUGGAGACCGUAAAAUUCAUUUAAGCUAUA
Osmia lignaria (orchard mason bee) is the source of this 582-nucleotide long non-coding RNA. RefSeq lists it as uncharacterized. NCBI's taxonomy places the organism in Eukaryota, Metazoa, Arthropoda, Insecta, Hymenoptera, Megachilidae. The record is from RefSeq and is a predicted model, not a curated record.